RNAcentral lists this ribosomal RNA (254 nucleotides) under uncultured bacterium. Its description in RNAcentral is "partial 16S ribosomal RNA". It matches the Rfam family "Bacterial small subunit ribosomal RNA", at positions 524 to 776 of the family's 1533-position model. The record is from RNAcentral.
UACGUAGGGAGCAAGCGUUGUUCGGAUUUACUGGGCGUAAAGGGCGCGUAGGCGGCAAAUUAAGUCAGCUGUGAAAUCCCCGAGCUUAACUCGGAACGGUCAGCUGAUACUGAUCUGCUAGAGUGCGGAAGGGGCAAUCGGAAUUCUUGGUGUAGCGGUGAAAUGCGUAGAUAUCAAGAGGAACACCUGAGGUGAAGACGGGUUGCUGGGCCGACACUGACGCUGAGUGCGCGAAAGCCAGGGGAGCAAACGGG